Numida meleagris (helmeted guineafowl) is the source of this 1907-nucleotide long non-coding RNA. Lineage: Eukaryota; Metazoa; Chordata; Aves; Galliformes; Numididae. The record is from Ensembl.
CGCGGAGAGGCUGCGCGCCUCCGUGCGGGCGGCUGCGGGGCCGGGGGGCUCCGAGGGAAGCGGGUCGGAGCUCGAGGAUCCCAGCUCCGCCGGGUGGGCAGCGCAGGGCGAGCGGCAAAGCCUCCGCGUCCCGCUGUCACCGUCCGAAGGUGCGACCUGGGCUGAAAGCUGCCCAGCGCGGCGCGGGGGCUCCCGGCUUGUGCGGAACAGAAGCGUGCGUUAUUGUAUGACUUAGUGCUCAUGAGUGUCUCGUCGAGCUGAACGCAUUUACCACGGAACGGACCCACUGAGAACAGUGGUGUCAGCCCCCCCCCCCCCCCCACACCCACACACCUUUAGCCUCUGUGUUUUGUAGCAGUGAGGGAAGAGAAAUCAGAAGGAGAGAGGAGGGUAUGGUGCUGGCAAGAAGUGCAGCACGCUGUGUGCCUCACCCUGCUUUCUGAGGAUGUCUGGUUGUCCGGUGGGGUUCCUGCAUACUGACAAGUGUUCUGCCUGUGGAUGAAAGCCCUGCUUGCUCCAGCUGUUUUCAUUUCCCAUUCCAGCAGAGGAGUGCCUGGAGGCCAAGGCUAUGUUGCAACACCUAUUUGGUAUGUGCAGGACAUACUUUUAGGAGACCAUUCCCAUCUGGAACAGCUUCUUCUUCACACACUAAGUAUCAGUAAGAAGAAAGGGACUGAUCACACUGAACUGGAACAGAGAAAAUGCAUAGUUUACCCAAAGUUGUAACUGGGAAGUCCUCUAUAGAGCUGUAUGGACAGCCUCAUUCUCAAGCCAUGUGGAGAGACAGUAGAACUGAUCAGCUGAUGUUUUUGCAUGUGGAAAGAAAUUAUUGUGUAUGCCUGAAACAAUGUGCACUAAACGUGGUGAUACAAGUGGCAAUUCCACAUGUUCUGAAGGCAGUCUGAGCAUGGGAGACUUAAGGAUUUUUGUGCACGUCUUUGCCAAUGAUCCCUUUAAUUACUAGCUAUAAAUCAUAUGGUAUGAAAACAUUACCAUUCUCAUUUCAAGAAGAAAGAUUUUGUAAUGCUUUCUCACUGUGUAAUAUGUAUGGAUUUAGGGCUCUGUGGAUUAAAUUUGGCAAUUCCAGGCAUGCAAGGUUACUAAUCCAUACUUUGUCUACAAAAAAAUAGAAAGAAGAAGCAAGGCAGCCUUGUGCCCUGGGGAUGGCUGGGGAAUUCCACUCAUGCCUGUCUUCUGUAACUCUUGUCAAGGGUGAAAACACUGACAUCAGUGUUGCAAUAGUUACAGGCAGACCAAAGAGACACACUUGCAGAAAAGCAUAGGUGGUUUCAUUAAGUACUUCGUUUUCACCUCACGGUUAUUUUUUUGACAUUUUUGUUCUUCCAGUUUCCUGAUGUUUUAAAGUAUGUAUUUGUCACAUUUAAUUCUGUUUUCCUGUAAUAGCUUCAUCCACAGAGACUUCUCUUGGAGAACGGCCCAGAGAUUUUUCUGUUUCUUCUUACAUUUCUAUUUUCUCUGCAUAUGCUAUUACAUCAUUUAUAUGGGUUAUAUACACAUAAUUUUAGUUUUUAUGUCAGACUUAUAAUGCCACAAUCAGGCUGUUGAAAUGGCAAAGUCCUGAGGAAUUUAUUUAGGCAGAAUUUGCACGGAAUUGUCUGUGAUUGCCUCAGUAAGUUGAAUGCUGUAAUAUUUCUGGUAGGUAUGCCAAAAUAAUAUAGGUAUAGGAAUAGAGCAUCAGUAAAAAUCAUUUCAGCGGCCAGUAAAGUGAAUCACAUUGUGAAGCUUUAACAAGGUCAAUGACGAACUGGAAGGAAGCAAGGAAUCUUGAUUUUGGCUUCAGUUUUCAACUCUUGACCACACUUCUUUGCCGUAUAAUGAUAUCAUUUACUGUUAAAUUUCAUUGAAUAUUGAACUGAAUAAAUUCUGUAAUGACUGAAUUUAAUACA